RNAcentral lists this non-coding RNA (238 nucleotides) under Anaerovirgula multivorans. Lineage: Bacteria; Bacillati; Bacillota; Clostridia; Peptostreptococcales; Natronincolaceae. The record is from RNAcentral.
GAAAUCCUAUCUGGUAAGGCAUUAGCCAAGCCACCAGUAGCGAGUCUUGGAGUAGAGGGAGUAAUCCUGAUAUUUAAGCGUAGACAGUUAGGUAGUAGGCCCGAAGUCCGGGAGGACGAGUGAUUGAGCCUCGUAAGACUGAAUAAUAGGGAAGGACGACAGUGUCGACGUACUGGAAGACAACAUCUAGUUAAGCGUAACGGCAAGUUUAACUAGGCUUCCCCGGGGUCGAAGAGCC